ACUUGUAUAGCUUAUGUUUAGAGCACAACAUUGAAGAUGUUGUUGAGGUUAAUAGACCUUCAAGUG
RNAcentral lists this transfer RNA (66 nucleotides) under Glyptotermes sp. A TB-2014. RNAcentral's name for it is "tRNA-Phe". The record is from RNAcentral. Lineage: Eukaryota; Metazoa; Arthropoda; Insecta; Blattodea; Kalotermitidae.